GAUGAAGAACGUAGUGAAAUGCGAUACGUAAUGUGAAUUGCAGAAUUCAGUGAAUCAUCGAGUCUUUGAACGCACAUUGCGCCCCCUGGUAUUCCGGGGGGCAUGCCUGUCCGAGCGUCAUUGCUGCCCUCAAGCACGGCUUGUGUGUUGGGCCCCCGCCCCCCGGUUCCCGGGGGGCGGGCCCGAAAGGCAGCGGCGGCACCGCGUCCGGUCCUCGAGCGUAUGGGGCUUCGUCACCCGCUCCGUAGGCCCGGCCGGCGCCCGCCGGCGACCCCCCCUCAAUCUUUCCAGGUUGACCUCGGAUCAGGUAGGGAUACCCGCUGAACUUAAGCAUAUCAGCGGAGGA
This 346-nucleotide unclassified non-coding RNA is filed under the name soil metagenome. Its description in RNAcentral is "partial contains 5.8S ribosomal RNA, internal transcribed spacer 2, and large subunit ribosomal RNA". The stretch from base 1 to 120 matches the Rfam family "5.8S ribosomal RNA", at positions 35 to 154 of the family's 154-position model. The record is from RNAcentral.